This is a long non-coding RNA of Syngnathus typhle (broad-nosed pipefish), 909 nucleotides long. RefSeq lists it as uncharacterized. NCBI's taxonomy places the organism in Eukaryota, Metazoa, Chordata, Actinopteri, Syngnathiformes, Syngnathidae. The transcript is spliced from 5 exons. The record is from RefSeq and is a predicted model, not a curated record.
AUUUGUGAAUGAAGCGCAACGUGGAGGGCAUCUUUAUAGCACGGCCCCGGCCUGGGCCCCGCCCACCUGACGUCAGUUGGUUUGGGAAUGCAUCAGCAGCUGUCAGUGGGUUGAUUCAAGGCUGUGUGUGUGUGGGCGAAAGGCUGGAGGCUCAGAGGCCAGAGGAAGUGGACCAAAAAGAACUGACUUCAUCACAUGACUCAUGUUUGCUGUGCAUCGCCCGUCUCCUGGAGUUUGUUUAAGAAGCUGACAGUCAUCAAGUCUCCACUGCAAACAAGCUUGACCCCUCGAGGAACCUCGUGGAGCUCCAGGGAUGUUUGGUGUUGCCUGGAGGUGUGCGCACCUGGUGUGACUGUUUUGAGGAAACUUUGUGGUGAAGGCAUGCCCGGGCUCUGUGACUCAGCGUGGGCGGCAGCAAGCUGCAGUGGAACACUUUGCUUGCCAAAGGAAGACCCAGUGACUCAGUUGGACUCCAUGCAUGAGUGUUUGUCAAAGGAGACAUGAAGUAUACUACAAACAGUUUUUUCAGCCGGAGGCAGCGGGUGAUACAUCAGGGCCCAGCUGGGAUAGACUCCACUCCAGCUCCUUGUGACCUCCUCAACAGGAUAAGAAUGGAUGGAUUAAGACGAUAAGAAUGGAUGAAUGGAUGGCUUAAGAAGUCGUAUAAUUAUUUUAUUUUUGGCCCUAAGCCCCACCCUUAGAAUACACUUGUGGGGUGUUACUUAUUCCAGUCAUUGGGGUAAAGGCAAGUCCAGUCAAUGAAUGCACAACAACAGAUGUAACAGUUUCAUGUCUAACGGUGUUAGUGAUUGUGUGUGUCAACAUUUGUACACAGGGUACACAUUUUGGGAAUAAAUUUAAUACAACGAAACCUCAAACAUUCAUUUAACCUCAAGUCGCCCAUUGAAA